RNAcentral lists this RNase P RNA (356 nucleotides) under Dysgonomonas hofstadii. RNAcentral describes it as "Bacterial RNase P class A". It matches the Rfam family "Bacterial RNase P class A". Rfam says of the family: Ribonuclease P (RNase P) is a ubiquitous endoribonuclease, found in archaea, bacteria and eukarya as well as chloroplasts and mitochondria. Lineage: Bacteria; Pseudomonadati; Bacteroidota; Bacteroidia; Bacteroidales; Dysgonomonadaceae. The record is from Rfam by way of RNAcentral.
ACAGUAGGCCGGUUUGCCGCUGGCUGCCUUCGGGCAGGAAGAGGAAAGUCCGGGCAACACAGAGCAUCGCAUUUCCUAACGGGAAGCUGUCCGUGAGGGCAAAGUAAGGCAGAAGAAAAUAACCGCCCGAAAGGGUAAGGGUGAGAAGGUGAGGUAAGAGCUCACCGGUCUGUAUAGCAAUAUGCGGAGCCGUGCCUCUUGCGAGUUGAAAGACCAUGUAUACCGGCGCACGUAGGACUGCUCGUCCGAUGCCGGGGGGUAGGUCGAUAGAGCCGGUUGGCGACAAUCGGCGUAGAUAAAUGGCAAACACCCUGCACAUCAGGGUACAGAACCCGGCUUACAGGCUUACUGUUUUU